AGGACGAACGCUGGCGGCGUGCUUAACACAUGCAAGUCGAGCGGAAAGGCCCUUCGGGGUACUCGAGCGGCGAACGGGUGAGUAACACGUGAGCAACCUGCCCUUAGCUCCGGGAUAGCUCCGGGAAACCGGAAUUAAUACCGGAUACGACCACGGCCGACAUCUGCUGUGGUGGAAAGGAUUCCGGCUAAGGAUGGGCUCGCGGCCUAUCAGCUAGUUGGUGGAGUAACGGCCCACCGAAGGCGACGACGGGUA
RNAcentral lists this ribosomal RNA (255 nucleotides) under uncultured bacterium. RNAcentral's name for it is "partial small subunit ribosomal RNA". It matches the Rfam family "Bacterial small subunit ribosomal RNA", at positions 26 to 285 of the family's 1533-position model. The record is from RNAcentral.